RNAcentral lists this ribosomal RNA (1372 nucleotides) under uncultured bacterium. RNAcentral describes it as "bacterial SSU rRNA". It matches the Rfam family "Bacterial small subunit ribosomal RNA", at positions 28 to 1381 of the family's 1533-position model. The record is from RNAcentral.
GAUGAACGCUGGCGGCGUGCCUAAUACAUGCAAGUCGAGCGAACGGACGAGAAGCUUGCUUCUCUGAUGUUAGCGGCGGACGAGUGAGUAACACGUGGAUAACCUACCUAUAAGACUGGGAUAACUUCGGGAAACCGGAGCUAAUACCGGAUAAUAUUUUGAACCGCAUGGUUCAAAAGUGAAAGACGGUCUUACUGUCACUUAUAGAUGGAUCCGCGCUGCAUUAGCUAGUUGGUAAGGUAACGGCUUACCAAGGCAACGAUGCAUAGCCGACCUGAGAGGGUGACCGGCCACACUGGAACUGAGACACGGUCCAGACUCCUACGGGAGGCAGCAGUAGGGAAUCUUCCGCAAUGGGCGAAAGCCUGACGGAGCAACGCCGCGUGAGUGAUGAAGGUCUUCGGAUCGUAAAACUCUGUUAUUAGGGAAGAACAUAUGUGUAAGUAACUGUGCACAUCUUGACGGUACCUAAUCAGAAAGCCACGGCUAACUACGUGCCAGCAGCCGCGGUAAUACGUAGGUGGCAAGCGUUAUCCGGAAUUAUUGGGCGUAAAGCGCGCGUAGGCGGUUUUUUAAGUCUGAUGUGAAAGCCCACGGCUCAACCGUGGAGGGUCAUUGGAAACUGGAAAACUUGAGUGCAGAAGAGGAAAGUGGAAUUCCAUGUGUAGCGGUGAAAUGCGCAGAGAUAUGGAGGAACACCAGUGGCGAAGGCGACUUUCUGGUCUGUAACUGACGCUGAUGUGCGAAAGCGUGGGGAUCAAACAGGAUUAGAUACCCUGGUAGUCCACGCCGUAAACGAUGAGUGCUAAGUGUUAGGGGGUUUCCGCCCCUUAGUGCUGCAGCUAACGCAUUAAGCACUCCGCCUGGGGAGUACGACCGCAAGGUUGAAACUCAAAGGAAUUGACGGGGACCCGCACAAGCGGUGGAGCAUGUGGUUUAAUUCGAAGCAACGCGAAGAACCUUACCAAAUCUUGACAUCCUUUGACAACUCUAGAGAUAGAGCCUUCCCCUUCGGGGGACAAAGUGACAGGUGGUGCAUGGUUGUCGUCAGCUCGUGUCGUGAGAUGUUGGGUUAAGUCCCGCAACGAGCGCAACCCUUAAGCUUAGUUGCCAUCAUUAAGUUGGGCACUCUAAGUUGACUGCCGGUGACAAACCGGAGGAAGGUGGGGAUGACGUCAAAUCAUCAUGCCCCUUAUGAUUUGGGCUACACACGUGCUACAAUGGACAAUACAAAGGGCAGCGAAACCGCGAGGUCAAGCAAAUCCCAUAAAGUCGUUCUCAGUUCGGAUUGUAGUCUGCAACUCGACUACAUGAAGCUGGAAUCGCUAGUAAUCGUAGAUCAGCAUGCUACGGUGAAUACGUUCCCGGGUCU